This 125-nucleotide small RNA is filed under the name Marmota monax (woodchuck). Lineage: Eukaryota; Metazoa; Chordata; Mammalia; Rodentia; Sciuridae. The record is from RNAcentral.
GCUGGGUGUGGUGAUGCACCCCUGUAAUCCCAGCAGCUUGGGGGGCUGAGGCAGGAGGAUCAUGAGUUCAAAGCCAGACUCAGCAAAAGUGAGGCAUUAAGCAAUUCAGUGAGACCUUGUCUCUA